UACGGAGGGUGCAAGCGUUAAUCGGAAUUACUGGGCGUAAAGCGCACGCAGGCGGUUAAUUAAGUUGGAUGUGAAAUCCCCGGGCUUAACCUGGGAACUGCAUUCAAGACUGGUUAGCUAGAGUCUCGUAGAGGGGGGUAGAAUUCCACGUGUAGCGGUGAAAUGCGUAGAGAUGUGGAGGAAUACCGGUGGCGAAGGCGGCCCCCUGGACGAAGACUGACGCUCAGGUGCGAAAGCGUGGGGAGCAAACAGG
This 253-nucleotide ribosomal RNA is filed under the name uncultured bacterium. Its description in RNAcentral is "partial 16S ribosomal RNA". It matches the Rfam family "Bacterial small subunit ribosomal RNA", at positions 524 to 776 of the family's 1533-position model. The record is from RNAcentral.